GAUGAACGCUGGCGGCGUGCUUAACACAUGCAAGUCGAACGGACUUUACAUGAAACCUAGUGAUUGUAAAGUUAGUGGCGGACGGGUGAGUAACGCGUGAAUAACCUGCCUUAUACUGGGGGACAACAGUUGGAAACGACUGCUAAUACCGCAUAAGCGCACAGUACCGCAUGGUACAGUGUGAAAAACUCCGGUGGUGUGAGAUGGACCCGCGUCUGAUUAGCUAGUUGGUAAGGUAACGGCUUACCAAGGCGACGAUCAGUAGCCGGCCUGAGAGGGUGAACGGCCACAUUGGGACUGAGACACGGCCCAAACUCCUACGGGAGGCAGCAGUGGGGAAUAUUGCACAAUGGGGGAAACCCUGAUGCAGCGACGCCGCGUGAACGAAGAAGUAUUUCGGUAUGUAAAGUUCUAUCAGCAGGGAAGAUAAUGACGGUACCUGACUAAGAAGCACCGGCUAAAUACGUG
RNAcentral lists this ribosomal RNA (468 nucleotides) under uncultured bacterium. RNAcentral's name for it is "bacterial SSU rRNA". It matches the Rfam family "Bacterial small subunit ribosomal RNA", at positions 28 to 507 of the family's 1533-position model. The record is from RNAcentral.